RNAcentral lists this ribosomal RNA (1825 nucleotides) under Escherichia coli. Its description in RNAcentral is "partial 23S ribosomal RNA". It matches the Rfam family "Bacterial large subunit ribosomal RNA", at positions 418 to 2228 of the family's 2925-position model. The record is from RNAcentral. Lineage: Bacteria; Pseudomonadati; Pseudomonadota; Gammaproteobacteria; Enterobacterales; Enterobacteriaceae.
CGGGACACGUGGUAUCCUGUCUGAAUAUGGGGGGACCAUCCUCCAAGGCUAAAUACUCCUGACUGACCGAUAGUGAACCAGUACCGUGAGGGAAAGGCGAAAAGAACCCCGGCGAGGGGAGUGAAAAAGAACCUGAAACCGUGUACGUACAAGCAGUGGGAGCACGCUUAGGCGUGUGACUGCGUACCUUUUGUAUAAUGGGUCAGCGACUUAUAUUCUGUAGCAAGGUUAACCGAAUAGGGGAGCCGAAGGGAAACCGAGUCUUAACUGGGCGUUAAGUUGCAGGGUAUAGACCCGAAACCCGGUGAUCUAGCCAUGGGCAGGUUGAAGGUUGGGUAACACUAACUGGAGGACCGAACCGACUAAUGUUGAAAAAUUAGCGGAUGACUUGUGGCUGGGGGUGAAAGGCCAAUCAAACCGGGAGAUAGCUGGUUCUCCCCGAAAGCUAUUUAGGUAGCGCCUCGUGAAUUCAUCUCCGGGGGUAGAGCACUGUUUCGGCAAGGGGGUCAUCCCGACUUACCAACCCGAUGCAAACUGCGAAUACCGGAGAAUGUUAUCACGGGAGACACACGGCGGGUGCUAACGUCCGUCGUGAAGAGGGAAACAACCCAGACCGCCAGCUAAGGUCCCAAAGUCAUGGUUAAGUGGGAAACGAUGUGGGAAGGCCCAGACAGCCAGGAUGUUGGCUUAGAAGCAGCCAUCAUUUAAAGAAAGCGUAAUAGCUCACUGGUCGAGUCGGCCUGCGCGGAAGAUGUAACGGGGCUAAACCAUGCACCGAAGCUGCGGCAGCGACGCUGAUGCGUUGUUGGGUAGGGGAGCGUUCUGUAAGCCUGUGAAGGUGUGCUGUGAGGCAUGCUGGAGGUAUCAGAAGUGCGAAUGCUGACAUAAGUAACGAUAAAGCGGGUGAAAAGCCCGCUCGCCGGAAGACCAAGGGUUCCUGUCCAACGUUAAUCGGGGCAGGGUGAGUCGACCCCUAAGGCGAGGCCGAAAGGCGUAGUCGAUGGGAAACAGGUUAAUAUUCCUGUACUUGGUGUUACUGCGAAGGGGGGACGGAGAAGGCUAUGUUGGCCGGGCGACGGUUGUCCCGGUUUAAGCGUGUAGGCUGGUUUUCCAGGCAAAUCCGGAAAAUCAAGGCUGAGGCGUGAUGACGAGGCACUACGGUGCUGAAGCAACAAAUGCCCUGCUUCCAGGAAAAGCCUCUAAGCAUCAGGUAACAUCAAAUCGUACCCCAAACCGACACAGGUGGUCAGGUAGAGAAUACCAAGGCGCUUGAGAGAACUCGGGUGAAGGAACUAGGCAAAAUGGUGCCGUAACUUCGGGAGAAGGCACGCUGAUAUGUAGGUGAAGCGACUUGCUCGUGGAGCUGAAAUCAGUCGAAGAUACCAGCUGGCUGCAACUGUUUAUUAAAAACACAGCACUGUGCAAACACGAAAGUGGACGUAUACGGUGUGACGCCUGCCCGGUGCCGGAAGGUUAAUUGAUGGGGUCAGCGCAAGCGAAGCUCUUGAUCGAAGCCCCGGUAAACGGCGGCCGUAACUAUAACGGUCCUAAGGUAGCGAAAUUCCUUGUCGGGUAAGUUCCGACCUGCACGAAUGGCGUAAUGAUGGCCAGGCUGUCUCCACCCGAGACUCAGUGAAAUUGAACUCGCUGUGAAGAUGCAGUGUACCCGCGGCAAGACGGAAAGACCCCGUGAACCUUUACUAUAGCUUGACACUGAACAUUGAGCCUUGAUGUGUAGGAUAGGUGGGAGGCUUUGAAGUGUGGACGCCAGUCUGCAUGGAGCCGGCCUUGAAAUACCACCCUUUAAUGUUUGAUGUUCUAACGU